Long non-coding RNA from Apis laboriosa (Himalayan honeybee), 700 nucleotides. RefSeq lists it as uncharacterized. The record is from RefSeq and is a predicted model, not a curated record. The transcript has 2 exons. Lineage: Eukaryota; Metazoa; Arthropoda; Insecta; Hymenoptera; Apidae.
AACCCGGAGCGGAUUGGUGCACGCGCUUGGGCCGGAUUCAAAUACUUGUUUCGAAAUGAAACAAAAUGACGACGAUUAAGGUGAACGCAUUGUGCUAGGAUAUUAACGCGGUCGUAAAAUCCGGGGAAUUGAACGAGGGUGUAGGCGUAUGUACGUGUAUGUUAUCGUAUGAUCGCGUAUUUGGCAAAAGUACGAGUUUUAAGUAGGAAACGUUUUAAAGUUAGAGAAUUUGUUUUAAUAGGAAUGCUGUACUUAGGAGGAUAAUGAAAAAAUCAUAUCUUUAUACCAUGUGGAUAAAUAUUUUGGAUUGGAUUGGAACCAAAGUCAGAUUUAGGAACGAAAGAAUUAAGAGAUGGACCAUGAUGGUGCUGUUUCAUCUUUGAUCUACGUUUAAUCCAAAUAAAAAAUUUUCUUGAUGAAUGGAACAGAUGAAAGAUAAGGAAAAUUUUGUUAUUUAAAUAAGUCUAUUUCGAUCGAAUCGAACGUGAGAUUUGGAAGAAUAAUAUUUGACAAGUUGAACGAUCGAGGAAAUUGCUUGACUGAUUAAAUAUCGCAAGUUUGAAUAAAAUUAAAAUUUUUAAAAAAAAUACUCGAUAAAUAUAAAUAUAUAUGCUCGAAAACUUGAUGAACUUUAGUUAAAAAUUCUUUGGAAACUACAAAAAUGUAAUAACAAAUUUCAAUAAACAAUAAUAUAUCAAAA